This 19125-nucleotide long non-coding RNA is filed under the name Nicotiana benthamiana. Its description in RNAcentral is "long non-coding RNA (NBEN_LNC008590)". The record is from RNAcentral. Lineage: Eukaryota; Viridiplantae; Streptophyta; Magnoliopsida; Solanales; Solanaceae.
AAGUCUUUCGACAUGUGUGCUUGGAUCUCUUUUUAAAAAAGUUUGAGGGCAUUUUAGUUAUUUCUUAUUAGCUACAUACGUGCCCUUUGGGCUCUUCACAGUUAUACGUGUACGUCUUUUGCUAUUACCACACAUAGACACAAGAGAAACCAUCAGAGAAGCGAUCCAUCAAGACCAGUUUAAAAUCGGGUAAAAAUUUGUUUUUAAAUUUCGGAUUUUAAUUUGAUGCGCUGUGAGUUGUGUUUGUACCUGUGAUGUGUGCUUAAUUUUCCUACUUUUUCCUCAAAUCUCUUGAACUAAAUCAAUUAACCCAAAGAAGAAUCGGAAAUUCUCGAGCUAAGGUUUUGAUUGAUGAAUUUGGGAAAUUUUAUUGUUUUCUAUAUGUUUCUUCUUCUUUUUUAUUUUAAAUUCAUUAAAACAAAGUGAAUUAGUUAUAAAUUUUCGAGUUAAGGUUUCGCUGGAUGAAAUUGGGGAUUUUUUUAUUUUUCGGAGAUGAAUUGAAAUCAAGAAAAUAAAUUUACUUUCUUUACUUGCUUGAAUUUUUGUUUUUACAUCAAAUACCAGUCGCGUAAUUUAUGUGCUGCAUGUAAAGCAUAUAGGAGAGUAGUAAAGACCAAAAUUAUGUUGUAAAAGGAGAAAGAAAUUCAUGUUCACACUUAAACGAAAAAAGUGUGUAUCAAAAUAUCUUUGAAGAAGUUGUAAUCGUAUUUGUUGUAAUUGUGUGAAGAGUCUUUUCCAAAAGGCAUGAUUAAGUUGUAACCAUAUGAAUCUAUUCAGCCACAUCUUUUAGAAAAGAAAUUCUUAAGGAAAAAAUAAGGGAAAAGAGAGAUAAUUUACUUAGUGUGAUGAUUUACCUUAUAAACAUGCAGUUUUUGAAAUGUUUCAAUAGGCCACUAAAAGAGUAAAAGUAGAUCCUCUAAGACCUUUAUAUGUUAGUAGUACUUCAAAGUUCUAUGUUUACGGUCUAUCAAGAAUUCCAACCAUGGCAAAAUGAUUAUACUUAUCAAAACAGAACACCAGCAUGGACACUCCAUUUUAAUGACAGAAAGGUGUUUCUUUUCUUUUAUCCUUAACUAAAUGUUCUAGAUUCGAAUUUUAGGAAUAGAGAAAUUCUUGGUAGCGAACCUUCUCUCUUUAAUUGGCUCUACGAGGCUACGAGAAUGAAAGGAUGUAUUUAAUUGGACAUAUGUAAUGCGGAUUUACAUUAGUCGAGCAGCAAUAACCAAUUUAUAAUAAUAUCUAAAGAGAGUUAAGAUACACUAAUAUUAGAUAGCUUAUAUAAGUUAAAUUGCAACAAGUAGGUGGUACAGUCGGUGAGGAUUGUCUUUGUCAUUGCUAAUUGAAUCAAUACAUCAUGCAUGUUUGUUAUUAAUGGCCAACUACAUUGUGGGAUUGUAGUUGUGCAGUUGGAAGACAGUAUUGCGUUCAAUUCGAAAGGCAUGGUUUUCACUUUUCAGUAUGUUUUUUCAUAGGAUAGCUUCCAACAGAACUUCUCUCCAUUAACAGAUAAUAAAAGUCUUUAGAUAUAAACAAGUUAUUGCUUUGUUCUAAUUCUCCGUCACAUGUAUUAGCAAAAGGAGAAAAUAAAUGAAUGCGUGAAUGAGAACCGAUUUGCCUUCCCUUUUUUCUCUCGCUAUUCACUCUGGCCUCCUCCAUAUUUCUUCCUUUUCUAAUCUCUAUUUCUUUCCUGACCGCAUGCUUCUUGAGCUUUUAGGGGUCUUUUUUUUCCUCUGUUUAUCUAAGUUGCUUGUGCUUUGAUGUGAUUCUUGCUGCAUAUUGUAGGAAAAUGUAAAUUAAUGGAAUUAGCUUUGCAGCGUGACUUACUAGCUAUCUAUCUUUGAUAUUUCUUUUUUAAUUUAGGGGCUUUACAUUUUUCAAUUUGGGACAGGUUUUAAAUUUUUUUGGAUUGAUAUAAAUUAAAGGAACUAUAUUUGUGAUUUGCAUCUAUCUAUCUAUCUAUCUCUGAACAUCCGAGAAAAAACAGUACAGCUGCAAAAGCAGGCAAUGAUCCUUUUUGAGUUGAAAUUUGACUUUGGUCUUAAGUCUUUAGGCUCCAUUAUUGCCUAUUCCAGUUUUUCUUCAAGUUUCUUCUUCACUCUGGUGAUUAGCUUUUACUUGACUUGUACAUUAUUUCCUUUUCUCUUUCAUUUCGGGGUCUAUCAUAUAUGUGAAUUUUGAGGAGUUUCUUGGUGAUAGGAUUUUGAUGAUAUGUGUUAGGUUUUUGCAGUUUCCUUCUUUGUGCUUUUGAGCUCUGUUCUAUUUGAGACUUUGAUAGUUGUUUUUCUUCUUAUUUUGGACUAUUUUGAUGGUUUUGCGAAAUUGAUGAAGGGUUCUUGUGAUUACUUUGCCUUAAUUGUUUUGGGAUGACUAUAUCAUAUGGCACCUUCAUGCUUCAUAUAUUUCCCUGAAAUUGUAUGUCGUAUGUUCGACCAAUUGGUUGAAUGACAUUGGACUAUUGGAGCCUAUUAAGGCUCCAAUGCACACUGAACGUGUAGAAGUGCAAUUUUUAGCUUUGAUAAUUGAUAAAUAUUCUGAGCUCUAAGAUAAAUAAGGAAAAUGAGUUGUGUUUGAGGGAUAUGACGCAAAGGUUUGUCAUAUCUUUGUUCCCUGAUUAUACAUGUAAAAACAUUGCACCUUGAUCUUUCAUUGUGUUGUUUCAUUAUCCUAUUUUUUCUAUCUUCAUCCUUGUAUCUGCAGAUGAAAGUAUAAUUUAAAAUUAUGUAUCUUUUUAAUCUGAAUUAUCAAUAUUAUCCAAAAAGUUAUUUUAAAACAUAAAAUUGUGCUAACAAGCUUCAGAAAUGGUAUACUAAGUACUUGUAGUGCCAAAAUGAUCAAAAUGAUCCAUCUGUUUUAGGAUGUUUUAGGAUUUCUUGCAAUUCUGUAUAUCAAUUAGAAUAGCUUUAUUAAAAAUAAUUCCAAAUAUCUUUUAGUAGUUAAUUUGCCAUGUCAAGCCUUUAAAGUUUUGAUAAUUUAAGAUUCUAUUAUUUUUGGUUUCAUACAGGCCUAUAUAUCUUUAGUAAAUUUACAAUAUCAAGACUUUCAAGUUUUGAGCUUUUUAUUUGAGCUAGAUAUGCUUUCAUUGUUUGCCGAUCUGUUCCUAUAAACAUUUUUAGUAGUUUAACUAGAUAUUUGUUGAUGCAUUGUUGCAAAGGUUAAAUAGGACAGAGCAGAACAUGAUUUGAAAAUUUUGUCUCUUUAUCAGAAUACGAUUCUCUCUCCAUGUACUGAAGAAAGAGUUGUAUCAGAUCAAAAAGCUAUAUUACUCGCCUUUGUUGAUCAAAUACAAGAGUUCUGUGUCUUAGCUUCUUGUUCCAGUUAGUCUUUCACAUGACCGAUAGCUACUCUAUCAUUGCUCGCACUUCGUUAUGGAUUGAAAUAAGUGGUAAGUAAUUUUUCUCAAUGACUUGUUAUAUUAGUAGUGUUAUCGUCUUUUUAGUACUAUUAUUUUUCUACUGAUGACACCAAUAGAGAUAACAGUGGAUAAAUGUUAUCAAUCUAAAAAAAUGAGAUAACAGUGGAUAAACAAAUAUAGCGCUACACUGCCAGACAAAACUAACUCCUAUUUUUUAUUGAAUUCAUGGCAGCUUUUAAUUGUUACUUUUUUACUUGGGAGUAGAAACUCAAAUCUAUUGUCAAAAAGAACGCCUCUAAUGUUCAUGAACAAAAGAAGCGCACAAAAAUUAAAUAUUAGCUUGACGCAUACUGAUGUAAUUUAUAAUGUUUAUAUGAGAAAUAAAAUGAGAAUGGUUGCACAUAGUUUGAUGUAAUCUAUGAUAUUUAUGUAAAAGAGAUUACAAAAGAGAAUAAUCACACAUAGCUCAAACAUUCUGUUUUCUUUUGUAAAUGAUCUAAAAGUGACAGCUGCCAAGAAAAACUUGUGGCUCUUGAUGCUUUAAAAACAUUAUAGAAAUAUAUGUAACAACUUGAACUGUCGUCGCAUGUGUUACCGCCCAUAUUUCCCGUUUUAUACUUUAUUAUGUUUCAUUAUAUGUGUUUGGAGAAAUUGAAGUAAUCAGGAUGGAGUUCGGUUAGAAAUGAGACAAUUAGUCUUUUUAUGAGAAGGUUAGUUUGGAAAAGACAACCGAAUGUUGACUUAUGAGUUAGAGGGAUCGGAAUGAAUUUUCGACGAUUUGACUAGUUUCGGGUGGUGAUUACUGAGUUAGGAGUGCAAUCAGAACUGAAUUUGGAGGUCCGGUGUAGAAUUAGGCUUGAAUUGGCUAAGGUUGAAUUUUGGCGAAGUCUGGUUGAUAGGUGAGAUUUUUAUCCGGGGGUCGGAAUGAAAUUACGACAGUUGCAGUAGCUCUAUUAGGUGAUUUUGGAUAUGCGUGCAUACUUUUAGGUCAUUCGAAGGUGUUUAGGUUGGUCUUAGAUCAAAUGCAAGUUUCGGAAGUUUUACUUUGACUUAGGCUUGAAUCCGUGCUAAUUUGAUGAUUCUGAUGUUUAUGAUUGUAUUGUUAUGCUAUGAGCAAGUUUAAAUGUGGUUUAGAACAUAUAUGUGCUUUUGGUUGAGGUCCAGAGGGCCUCGGGGUUAUUUCGGAUGGCUAACGGGAAUUUUUGAAGUUGAAGAGUGCAGCAGAAAAUUGCAGAGGAAUUUUCCUCUAUGCGGUCGUGUAGGCCUAGCUGCGAUUGCAUAGAUGGCCUGGAGGAGUCUCAGAAAUUUCUCUAUGCGAUCGCGUAAGGGGGCUUGAGAUCGCAUAGGUAUGGGGGAUUGUUCAGUGCGAUCGCGUGGGAUGUAUGCGAUCGCGUAGUAGGAUUUGAGGGCCCAGGGACUUUGUGCAUUGCGUUCGCAUUAAUUUGAAUGCAAUCGCAUAAGUCUGGCCAGUGAAGCUAGGCCUGGUAACUUUGUUCUAUGCGAUCGCAGGGGCUUGGAUGCGAUCCCAUAGAAGGAAAUAGUUGGGCAGAGAAGGGUUUUUAAUAACAUUUCAUCCGCGAACCAAACCUAUUUUCCACCAUUGUUAAGCAACCAAGUCUGAAGUCUACAACAAACAAGUGGGAGAGGCAGGAUUCGACCUACGUAGAAAAACUUUAACAGAUAUACAGUCUGCCACUUUUGACCACUCGGCCACACUCCCCUUCCCAAGCCGAGGCCCCCCUCAAUGGGUUCUAAUUCUAAGAAGGGGGGCGGCACCCUGAAUCAAUCAAAAAGCUUAUUGAUUUAAUUGAAGGGAACUAAGACGAUUAGCUUAGCUAGCGUUCCGGGAGAAUCUAGUCAUUUAGUCAGUUCAUAACUAUCUCUGUAAAGCAAGGGGUAAAGCUUCUACGAAAGCUUCCCCCUCAUGUAGUCGUCGGCCUUCCCCAGCCCCCCCUCGUCGCUUCUGGCGAAGCUGCGAGUUCAUGAGCAAGUGAAUGAAGGAGCCAUGUUCUGCUUCUACAAAAGCUUCGAGGAUCUUAAACUUCUUGAUCGUGAAAAAUCAAGUGAGCUUUCCCCCAUGACAUUUCUGUGGAACGAGCUUAGCUGCUAGGUGAAUCCCUAAAGUAGAUUAUGUCUCCGCAGCAUUGGAAUCAAUAUUUUGACUUUCCUGGUCUAUUUAAAUAACUGAAGCUAGCCGAAUACGAACUAACGGAAUACUACUUUGUUUCUGUUUUGUUUGUGGACAAAUGAUAUCCGUUCAGGUGUAUGGCUGGAUCCUUUUAGAUCUACGGGCCGGCCGGCCCCGGCCGUUUACAUGAGCAUAGGGAAUCUAUACUCGAGCGUUCCACUGGGCCCCUGACAGGAUAGGUGAGGAUUGCUUUUUGAGUGAUUUGAAGCGUGUUUUCAACGGGUAUUGAUUGGAGGUAAGUCUCUUGACUUAAAAACACCAUUUUUAUGACGAAUCAACCCGCAAAUCCAUGAAUCAUGCUGGAAUUGUGAAGAAUUAGGGCUUAGUUUUUGAAAAUAAAUUUAAGGUCUUUGAAAGGUCAUUCGAGCUCCGUUUUUGACAAACUUUAUGUGUACGGACACGUGGAGUGACGAGGAAUCCAUUGAUAUUAUUUUUGGAAUUUUUUUAGAAGUGGGCUCGGGGCUCGGUUUUUACCAACUUCGUGAUUUUCAGUAUUUUUUUGAGUAAUUUCGAUUGGGUUAUGUUUCUUAAACAUAUAAUAACCUAUCCGUUAUGGUUUUGGCUAGAUUCGACGUGCGAGGAGGUUGAUCCGAGUGGCAAGAGUGUUGCUAACUAGUUUUCGGUUGGCUAGAGGUGAGUAAUUGAUGCACUGACGUGCUGAGGGUUUGAAACCCCAGACUUUCACAUCGUAAUGCUAUAUUGAGGUGUGACACGCAUUCUACGAUGAGUGCGGGGACGGAUACAGUUGGGGAUUGAGACCUAGUCCAUCCUGAGUGAUUAUUGCUAUUAUAUUGGCGACUGAAACGCAUUCCUUGUUAUUGUGGACUGGGCUUAUUGCCAUGUUUGGGGCCAUGUACCGACUUGUGGAAUCCUUAGGGGAUCUUUAUAUGUUUUCUUCACUUGUGUGCAUCACAUAGAUUCUCAGUCACGUGUUCAAAUAAUAAAUAAAUAUAAUAACUGUGUUUUAUACAUAACUUAAAAUGAAAAAGGAUAUGAAGGCUGAGAUCCCUAUAGUAUGUCCCGUCCGAUUGAUGGUGGACUUGUUUGACUGAGAUGGGUCGGGGACCCUGUAGUGAGGGUGUUUUCCUGAUAUGGAUUGGGCUACACGUCGUAGCAAUUAUAUAUAUUCAUAUUGAGGCUGAGAGCCUGUUUUAAUAGUGAGGAUGAUUUCCUGAUAUGGAUCGGGCUACAAGCCGUAGCGAUUAUAUAUAUAUUGAUAUUGACGCUGAGAGCCUUAUUUACGCCAAUACCUGGCUGAUAUUGCACUUGGGCUGUAGGAGCCCCUCCGAAGUGUGUACACCCCAAUAAGAGUCGUCGACGUUAAAUAAGUAGAGCGGGCAGCACGCCUUAGCGGGUAUUAGAUUAUACCGUUAUGUGUAUUGUUUUUAUGCCAUGUGUUAUUCCUUAAAUAUGUUAAGUUGUUGUAUGCUGUUUCUACUGUUUGGAUAUAAAUUGCUAGAUAUAGAGUACUUUGUGCACUUAUUGUUUUUUCUUUCUUUUAGCCUUUAGUUAUAUCUAUUACCACUGAGUUGAAAGUACUCACUUUACUCCCUGCACCUUGUGUGCAGAUCCAGGACAGUCUCAGGCUGAGUGAUUCCAGCGGAUUCAGAGUUCUUUCGGGAGUAUUUGGGGUAACUGCAGGGCCUUCGCAGCCGAUGAUUCUCCCUUCUAUCUUUAUCCUUUAUUCCCGCAUUAUCAGUGUUAGACAGACUUGUAAUAGGAUAUUAUUCUGUCAAGAGAGGUUCAUGGUCGUGACACCGGGUCCUAGUUGGGUUGUUUUGGUAUUUUCUAAGAUUUUUCGUAAUUUUAUCAGUAUUUCAGACUUUGACUUAGAUGGUUUCUAUCUUUACUUGUUAAAUAAUUGGAGUAACCGUUAGAAAUGGUCGGGCUUGCCUAGUAGUGUGCUGGGCGCCAUCACAAUCGGAAUGGGUCGUGACAAGUUGGUAUCAGAGCCUAAGUUACUUGGUCUCGCGAGUCAUGAGCCGAUUUAGCAGUGUCUCGAGUAUCGGUACAGAGAUGUCUGUACUUAUCCUCGGGAGGCUGCAGAACCUUUAGGAAACACUUCACUUUAUCAAAAUUCAUAUCGUGCGGCCCUGUCACUAUGAAAACUAAACCUCUGUAUUCUAUUCUCUCACAGAUGGUGAGAACCCGUGCUAAUGAACGUGGCGGACGACCACCAUUGCCACCUACUAGGGGCCGUGGGUGCGGUUGUGGUGCUGGUCGAGGCAGACCAGCAGGGGCAACACCUACAGACCCACAAGCUGUCCAGUGCCAGGACUAGCCUCCAGCUCUAGAUGCUCCAACAACACCGGUCCAGACACUGGCAGUGCCCAUUAUGAUUCCUGGUCUUCAGGAUUCCCUAGCACAAAUCCUAUUAGUUUGUACUGGCCAGGCUCAGGCAGUUUCAGCUACCAUAGAAGCAGCUACUUCACAGGCCGGGGAAGGAAAUUAGACCCCUGCUGCCUGCACACCUGAGCCGGCAGUGCAGGGUCUGCAGACCCCAGAGUCACUACCAGCUCAGCAGGUUGCCCAGCUCAGCCGGUUGCACCAGUUCAGGAUAAUAUGGUUCCAGUUGUCACACCUCCUAUUUACACACCUACCCCGGAGGAUAAAUGGAUAAGGGAAUUUUUCCAUUUAAAGUGACAUUAUUCGGAUCGGGAUUAUUUAUUUAUUCAGAGUNNNNNNNNNNNNNNNNNNNNNNNNNNNNNNNNNNNNNNNNNNNNNNNNNNNNNNNNNNNNNNNNNNNNNNNNNNNNNNNNNNNNNNNNNNNNNNNNNNNNNNNNNNNNNNNNNNNNNNNNNNNNNNNNNNNNNNNNNNNNNNNNNNAAGGUUUGGCUUUUGGUGUGCCAAGUCACCGGUUUAGCUUGAAUCCCGAAUGAAGGAAAAUUUUGACUUCCCUAAUGGAGUCUGCGAACCAUAAAUUCUGUAUAAAGAAUUUUGUUGACCCGAGGGAAGGUGUUAGGUACCCUCGGAUCCCGUGGUUCUAGCACGGUUGCUUAAAUUGCUAUGAAUGGCUAAAAUCUGAUUUUAUUACAUGAAGAGCCUAUGUGCCAAUUUUUACUGUUUACCGCAUUUAUUUAAUAUGAAUUUAUUUAAGACAAAGUGAACGUCAUUUAAAGUGUGUUUUCGGAUUGCGGCAUCAAAUUAACCCGCAAUCCUGGCACACUCUAUGCAACGUUUUAGGAUUUGGAUUUGGGCCGCAUAAAAUGCCCACCCGUAUUUAGGAAUGUAGUUUAGUAAAGUCACGCCUAAUAAAGUCUAACGCGUUGUACUCUUUUGGAGGGCCGUGAAAUUCUCUAAACGGCCCUUUCCAAUUUCUAAAAUAUUUUUAUAAUUGUUUAUCGAAAGCCCCGCAUUAGAUUUUUGUUUGGCGAGGUUCGUCUCAUAAUUUUAUUUAAGGCCUAUCUAAAGUACCUAAAUUACCUAGUCCAAUUUGCCUCUAAAGUAAAGGAAAAUCCUAACUCAAAGCCUAGUAUCAAUUAUUCAAGAAAACUGUUGAAAGAAAAUCUAGAUUAGGCCCAAAGUGUUGGCCCAAUGUGCCAAUAAAAGAGCAGAAUGGCAGCCUCAAAGUUUCAGCACUGGGAUCAAUUCCCAACAAGCACCAAUAUAGUACAAACUCACGUAAUAAGACUAGUCAUCAAUGUGCAAAAAAAUUGCCUAACGCUAUUCGCACAUGAUUUUGAAAGUAGUAACAUAAAGUAGCACAUCAGAACACAUUUUUUAUAAAAGAUAAUCUCAACCUAUGAUUUUGAUUAUUCUGAAAUCAAAUUACUGGAUGUAAAUAUCGAAUUUGCAACUACCAAUUAACGGUAAUUAACCACUGAAAACUUAUCAGUUUUUACCCUGUGUUCGUAACUACAAUGUCAGUUUAGGCAUUCCUCCAUAACACACAAUACUUCAAAUGAUGCAAUACUAUAGCCUUCAAGUUCAAAUGAUGCAAGGUUAAUCAAUCCAAUUCCAGUUAAAGUUGAGACUAUUUUCUAAUUAUCUACUGAUGGACUAUUAGAUAUCAUUGUGAUAAAACAAAGCAAAUUAGGAAGCAAUGCUCAGGCAAUCCAAAAUUUCAUGCAUAUUGAUUUCUUAACACAUAUGGGAAUCCAAGAGCUUGAAACAGUUUCUCACUUCAACUAUUCAUCCAACUUUGAUAAUCAGAUCAAUGAGAACCAAAUUACACUAGUUAAAACUAGAGGAUAGUUGUCAUCUCCAAUUCCAUACUUAACAGUUCAACAACUACCAAAACAAAAUCUCAAGCUAAUUAACAAUCAACUACAAAAGUAGCAAUUGAAAAGGUCCAAGGCAGUACCAAUUAACAACCAUAUUAUCAAUUGUCACUCAACAACAAUACCAUAACACAGGAGGAAUACUCAGUUAAAACAAGGAACUCAUCAAAGUAGAUUUGAACAACUCUUCAUUUCACUUCAAAAAGCCAAGAGUGUACAAAUGUGUACCUGGAAAAUGGCAAAUAAGAAAGAUAAAAGGAUCAGCAGCAAUGAGUGUAACAACAGUCAAUGAGAACCCAAAUCAACAGUAUAUUUGAGCAUAACCCAGAAAAUAUAUUCAAACCAACGACCUAGACCCAGUUGAAAACAAGCAGCAACGACAGAACAACCAAAAACAAAACAGGCUAAAUGAACCCUAAUUUGUUCGAAAUCAACUGUGAAUAACCCAAAAACUUCAACAACUAAUGAUAGAGCCAGGAAGUGGGAAUUAUGAACUAGAAUAUCAAGAUUAGUCUACGAAAUGAAACAGUGAACCCUUUUUUUGGAUUUUCAUAGCUUUGUAUUUUUUCUUGAGAUUUUUUUAAGAAGAAAAAGAAAUUUCUAAUCUAAUGUCAAUAUAAAAAAUGGAAUUUUUGUAUUUCUGGAGAUAUCACUACUUUUCUAUGGAAAUUCUCGCUGAAGGUCCCCCCUCUAAGGCAUGAAACAUGACUCUUUAUAGGAAAUAGUGAGGACAACCCUCAAAUUCCUAUUUUACACUAACAUCCCCUCAUUAUUUCAGCUUCAGUCCCUUAAAUUUUAACUUGCUGCUAAAGAAAAUGCUCCCAAAAGCUGAGAGUUACAGCUUAACCCUAAUCUAGAAGCUUCCCACCUAGGAUUCCUUAAGUAUAUUUUUCUUUUUUAUCCCUCAUUAACCUUAGUCAUUUUAACCUCAUAUCCUUCCCCUCAAAAUAUCUGCACCUCACAUGCCAUUCCAGCCUUAUCUUCUACAACAGAAAAUAUUCCCUUCCUCCAAUUACCAAGACACCCCUAGAUAGCCUUGCAAUUACUAACCCUCCAUUAACCACAACAAGCCAUUACCCCAGGCUAUCUAAUCUAUGGUUAACUAAGGAGCAAUUCAUUUCAGCUAUAACCAAUCUCACAAACAAAACAAACGACCCAAAUUCAAUCUAGAAGAACAAAAUCCAAACAUAAAAACAAAGUCUGAAGUCAAUAUCUUAUUGGAACAAAUGAGCAUCAUAUCCUUCCCCUCAAAAUAUCUGCACCUCACAUGCCAUUCCAGCCUUAUCUUCUACAACAGAAAAUAUUCCCUUCCUCCAAUUAUCAAAACACCCCUAGACAGCCUUGCAAUUACUAGCCCUCCAUUAACCACAACAAGCCAUUACCCCAGGCUACCUAAACUAUGGUUAACUAAGGAGCAAUUCAUUUCAGCUAUAACCAAUCUCACAAACAAAACAAACGACCCAAAUUCAAUCUAGAAGAACAAAAACCAAACAUCAAAACAAAGUCUGAAGUCAAUAUCUUAUUGGAACAAAUGAGAAGAUUAAUUAAGCUAACGACUAAUUGACGAUUGAGCAUUCAAACUAACAACGAAUCAAAAACAACUCAAAAUUUAAACAAAAGACUAAAACUGGCCUAAGACGAAUAAACCUAUCAAUUAGAACAAUUAAUAGAUGAACUCAGGUUUUAACUAGAAAACUAAACUCAUGCUCGAUUAAACUAAACAAAACGACAAAACAAAUUAAAAGAUAAAGAAAGAAAGAACUUACUAAUUUCAGCCUUCGAAUAAAAAUUUCCGAAAAAAUAACUUCGAGCUAAUAUUUUAGGUCUAUUUCAUAAGUAAUAGACCUAUGAUAUUAGCCCGAAGCCACUCGUCUUUGAAAAACCUUUAAACAUCCCCAAUGAUUUGACCCUCUAAUUCAACUUCGCCCUAUUAUAGUGGUUUUUGACAGAAAAUAAUGAGGUAUAUGAGAUGAAGGAGGCCUAAGGUAGGUGUGGUGUGAAUUUGGGUUCAUUUGAGUGAGUUGAAGAUUUGGCCGCAAAUUACGAUUUGAAUUUCGAGAAAAUUUGUUUAUAUUCGAUGGCCAACGAUUGCAUAUUUGGGCUGAGGGGAUCAAGGAGGUUCGGGGGUGUGGCUUUGGGAGAUUGGAGGUUCUCCGCCGCUGUGGGCGAUUUUCACCGACGGAAGUGGGCGGAGAUGACUGGAGCAGGCUAAGAUGAAGAAGAUGAUACGAGGAAGAAGCCUAUGGUCGAUUGAAAUUACACAAGCGUUAUUAUAUAUAAAUUUAAAUCUCAGGGAACUAAAUGGACCAACGAUUAACAUGUUUGGACGUCUGAGAUCAAAAGGGGGGAAAGAUGGACGACGUCGUUUCACUUCUGGGGCAGGUCUGGACCGGGUUUGGUCUUGGACAGGGUUAGGCAACUUUACUUGGGCCAAACAAAUUUAAUUUUAAAAGUGGCCCAACUUAGAUCUCAAAAGAUAACCCUCUUCCUUAUUUCUUCCUCCUUUAAUUUACUUCUUUUUAUUCUAUUUUCUCAUUUUUUUAAUUUUUAAUAUUGUAAAAGAAAUGCAAGAAAUAAAAAAUGAACCUAAUUUGAUUCUAAAAUUAAGCUAGCUAAUUUAUAAAAUUAUUUAAAAACUAUUUUACGACCAAUUGGACAAUUAUAAGUAAAACACAAGAAAAGGCAAUUUUUGGCUGUUUUUCUUGUUUUACUAAUGCUAAAUAAAUUAACAAACUAAAAUUAAACUCCUAAAAAUACUAGUGCAAUAUUUUGUAUUUUUCGAUAGUUAUGGCAAUCAAAUACACAGAAAUGCAAAUAAAACACAAAAUUGAACAAUUAAUUCCUAAGGAAUAAAAAGUUCUAAUUUAAAUAAGUUUAUAGGAGUAAUUAAAAUAUGACAAAAAUCACAUGCUCAUAGCUGCCCCUCUUUGCUCGAAGACAUGAAGAGUUUUCGGGCAAAGACAAAUGAGCAACUAUAAGAUUUUUGCCUGUUUAGCACUCCAUGGGAAGAAUUUUAAAAAUCGUCUGACUGAACCUUGCUUCAAGGGUUUCCUACAUAUCGUUGGCUAUAAAAGAAUCAGGUUAGCGUAGUUCUGGAGUGUUUGGUAGCUGGGACUACCAGAAGCUGUGAUUUUACUGUUGUGGUUGCUACUACUGCUUGCUGACCUCCUUAUUACACCUAUGGAAAAUCAAAGCUAAGCUAACUAAGCCUAUCGACUAUGAGUUACAAGAUUCCUAUCUAUAAUUCUCUUUGAACUUGAUCUUGAGUCUUAGCUGAUUUUGUUGUAGACUUCAACCUGAAUCUUGAUGCUCACGGGUUAUGAGGGCCUAUUUCUUCAUGCACCAUUGAGCCGAGGUAGCUUGUGACUCAGAUUCUUAGUAAUCUGCACUCUUGUUUACCUCACAUUCGAGUUCAUUUCUUUUUGUUCUUUUCUUCUUUUCUUUAUUUGAAUUGGGACUUGUUUCAUCGGUCAUCUCGCACCUUGUGCCCUGCGGUCAAACCUGUUUAAAAAUAUCAAAGCAAACAAACGAACGAAAAUUUCUGCCCCAAUUUUACUAGGAAAAUUUCGCGAGUCAGUUGUGACACAUACGACAAUAAAACUAGAAAAGGCUCUUCCAUUGUGUCCCAGAGAUUCUCGGUUUUUAGACUGGAUUUUGAAAAGCAAUCACUCCACGAUUUUCUGGCUGGGAGAUCCUUGGUUUUUUGGCCGGGAUUUUAAAAAGGAAAAGAUCCACGAUUUUCUGGCGGGAGAUCCUCGGUUUUCUGGCUGGGAUAUUUUGAAAAGAAAAAGCUCCACGGUUUUCUGGCAGAGAGAUCCUUGGUUUUCUGGCCGGGAUAAUUUGAAAAGAAAAAGCUCCAAGAUUUUCUGGCCGGGAUAUUUUGAAAAGAAAAAGCUCCACGGUUUUCUGGCCGGGAAAUCCUUGGUUUUUAGGCUGGGAUAUUUUGAAAAGAAAAAUCUCCAUGAUUUUCUGGCCGGGAGAUCCUCGGUUUUUGGCCGGGACUGUAAAAAGAAAAAGCUCCACAAUUUUCUGGCCGAGGGAUCCUCAGUUUUAUGGAUGGGAUAUUUUGAAAAGAAAAAGCUCCACGGUUUUCUGGCCGGGAGAUCCUAAGUUUUCUGGCCGGGAUAUUUUGAAAAUAAAAAGCUCCACGGUUUUUCACCCGGGAGAUCCUCGGUUUUAUGGCCGGGAUAUUUUGUAAAGAAAAAGCUCUACGAAUUUCUGGCCGGAAGAUCUUCGGUUUUCAGGCCGGGAAAUUUUGAAAUGAAAAGGCUCCACGGUUUUCUGGCUGGGAGAUCCUCGGUUUUCUGGCUGGGAUUUUCAAAAGAAAAAGCUCUACGGUUUUCUGGCCGGGAUAUUUUAAAAAGAAAAAGCUCCACGAUUUUUUGGUCGGGAGAUCCUCGGUUUUCUGGCUGGGAUUUUGAAAAUAAAAAGCUAAGCUGCCAUGAUUUGAUUCUCUUUUGGGGGAUUUUCCCAUUUCUUUCCUUAUUCCUUUUUGGGUUUUUCUUUUUAGAUGUUUUUCUUUUUAUUUAUAAAAAUGUAUGAAAGAAUGUUUUGAAAAGAAACAUUCCUUUUGGGUCGUUUUCCCUGUUGCAGAACUAUUUCGACACUCGUGCAUUUCAUUUCUUUUUGGGCUGCACCUGCUUUUUGCACAACUGUUUUGAAUAAGAUCUAUUUUCAACAAAGAAAAAUUUAUUAGUUGAAACGGUGGUUGGUUUUGUGGCCUUGAUCAUCUUCAUCGCUUGAUCCCAACCCCAUUUCCAUUGGAAAUUCUGCUGCUUGUUGGCCUUGAAGGUGAAUCUCUUUCACACUAACCGGGUUCAGCCUUAGGAUGUCAUGAUGACUCGCCCAUGUGUGCUCUGGUUUUCCACCUCAUUUUGCUUUCCAGACCUUUCCCUUUGGCUUUCUUUCUUUUCUAAUGUCUUUCACUUUUGAGGCAAUCAACCACCAUGGUCAGUCGGGAUUGAACUGGCGCACCACUGAGGUUGAGUAUUUCUUUUACUCUUGCCGGGCAGAGCCCUGUGAAACUGGUCCUGCCACCUUUUCUCUGUAAUUAAUACAAAAUCAAAGUUAAACCUAAAGGGAUUCAAAGAAAAGUAUGCAAAAAGGCAAGUAUAUGAGUUUAAAGAGAAACGUCCCUUUCGGGGGAAAAGAAGGACUUAUCUGGGGUGCAUGCUGACUCCAAAUGAACAUAACAUGCUCCUUGGACUGGACACCCGACCCGCACCAGCUUCCAACUUCUCAUGAACCCAUUGACCCAUAUUUCCAAACUUUGGAACCAUGCCAGGACUUUUAGUGAUGAAGCAUCCUCUUUUCGGCCGACAGCGCUCUUUGCGGGUUUUUGCCCAUUCGACCUCUCUCAUUUCUCUUCUCACCAUUGCCCGAUAGCGCUCUUUGCGAGUCGCUAAGUGGACUCUCUCAUUUUUUAUUUCUCUACUCACAGUCUUCUUAUGGCGCCCGAAGGUUUUCACCGAUAAGACUCUCUCAUUUUAUUUCUCUCUAUUUGAAUUGUAUCAGAUUCCAACAAUGAUAUUUUCCACAUUCCUGUCUUCGCCAAUUGAUCAAAAGGAGUUGGACAAGGUCAUUAGGGUAAAAGGAUUUUGGGCGGAACUACAACUUUGGAACCAUUUCGGCGGUCUCAUGGCCGAACCAUUAUAUCAUCUGCCCCAGUCUCACUUUUUGAGGGAAUUGGGAUUUUUGUUUUGGUGUGACUGAACCUCAGGGAGAGGAUGCCUACGUAUCCUUUCAGAAUCAAGUCAGACGUAGUUCAGGGAAUUUAAUUUUUUUGUUUCAGUUUAUUUUUUGUAUUUCGGGUUCCAAAGAGGGUAAUCAAAGAAAGGUAACCGACUCAAAGGGUUUACGAGGGACUAAAAAGCCUUCUUCAUUUCAGUUGCACGAAGACGUCCCUGAUGGAAGUUUAGACAUAAUACCUUUUAACUGCAUCUGCAUUCACCACUACUUCGGGAUCAUUCCCUUCUAUAUCACCUAGGUAUAACACUCCUCUUGGCAGUAUCUUCCUGAUGAUGUACGGACCUUUCCAGUUAGGGGAAAAUUUGCCUUUGGCUUCCUGAUGAUGAGGAAGAAUGAGUCUUAACACUAAUUGUCCCACUUCAAACUUCCUAGGUCGUACUUUCUUAUUAUAGGCGCGGGACAUUCUUUGUUGAUACAACUGCCUAUGACAAACUGCAACUAUCCGUUUCUCAUCGAUUAAAGACAAUUGUUCCAACCGAGUUUUAACCCACUCACUAUCUUCAAUUUCUGCUUCAAAAAUUAUCCGGAGCGAAGGGAUUUCCACUUCUGCCGGGAUCAUAGUCUCAGUUCCAUAAACUAUCAAAUACGGAGUUGCUCCAACCGAUGUGCGUACCGUAGUGCGAUAUCCCAGUAAGGCAAAAGGUAAUUGUUCAUGCCACUGCCUAGAGCUUUGGAUUGUCUUUCUCAAAAUCUUCUUGAUGUUUUUGUUCGCUGCUUCAACAGCGCCAUUGGCUUUGGGCCUAUAAGGAGUGGAAUUUCUAUGCGUUAUUUUGAACUGCUCGCACAUUCUUGAUGUUUUUGUUCGCUGCUUCAACAUCGUCAUUGGCUUUGGGCCUAUAAAGAGUGGAAUUUCUGUGCGUUAUUUUGAACUGCUCGCACACUUCUUCCAUCAAAUGGCUGUUAAAAUUUGGAGCAUUCUCCGUGAUAAUGGUUACUGGAAUAUUGAAAUGGAAGAUAACACCCGAGUGCACAAAAUCCACUACAACCUUUUUAGUGACUGAAGUGAGAGUGAUAGCCUCAACCCACUUCGUAAAAUAAUGAACAGCUACCAAUAUGAACCUGUGCCCAUUUGAGGCUUUUGGCUCGAUCGGUUCAAUGACAUCCAUACCCCAUGCGACAAAAGGCCAAGGUGCUGACAUGGGACAUAGUUCUGUUGGACGUGCAUGAAUCGGAUCUCCAUGCACCUGACAUUGAUGGCAUUUCUGGACAAAACUGAAGCUAUCUUUCUCCAUGGUUAUCCAAUAAUACCCAGCUCGGAGUAUCUUCUUUGCCAACACAUACCCUUUCAUGUGAGGUCCGCACACCCCGGCAUGCACUUCAUGCAUGAUUCUUCCUGCUUCUUCGGCGUCAACGCAUCUUAAUAAAUUGAGGUCUGGAGACCUAUUGUACAAGAUUUCACCACUUACACAUUGAGGUCCGCACACCCUGGCAUGCACUUCAUGCAUGAUUCUUCCCGCUUCUUAGGCUUCAACACAUCUUAAUAAAUUGAGAUCUGGAGUCCUUUUGUACAAGAUUUCACCACUUAGAAAGAAAUCACUCGCCUGUCGCCUUCUCUUUUGAUCCCCAGUGGUAUGUUCGGGAUAUUUUUAUGUUUUCAAGAAUCUUUUAAUAUCAUGAUACCAUGGUUGGACGCUUGGCCCUGCUUCAACUGCAUUACAAAAACCAUUUGAUUUUCAAGGGAUCAAUGUAGGCAUUGCUCGGAUAAGGGAGCAUCGAGGCUAGAGUAGCAAGUGCAUCAGCUAAUUCAUUAUGACACCGUGGGAUGUAUCUGAAUUAUAUCGAUUUGAAAUUCUUGCCGAGAUCUUCUACAUGAUGUCGGUAAGGAAUGAGCUUGACAUCUCGGGUUUCCCAUUCUCCCCGAGCUUGUCGAAUAAUCAAAUUAGAAUCCCCUAUGAUCAAUAAUUCUUCCACAUCUUGAUCAAUCGCUAUAUUCAUGCCCAUGAUGCAGGCUUCAUACUCAGCAGUGUUGUUUGUACAGAAAAAAUGAAGCCUUGUGGUAGCUGGGUAAUGUUGGCCAGUUGGCGAAAUUAAAAUUUCCCCAAUUCCUACAUCCUUGGCGUCCACUGCUCCGUCGAAGAACUUUUUCCAAGCAUGAGUAUCUUAAAUUACCACUUCUAUCGUGUUUACUUCUUCAUUCAGGAAGUAAGUGUUCAACGACUGGUAUUCUUCAUCAACCAGAUUUUCAGCCAAAUGAUCCGCCAGUGCCAAGGCUUUCAUUGCCGUGCGAGUCACGUAAACUAUAUCAAAUUCAGUAAGCAAGAUUUUCCACUUCGCCAAUCUCCCAGUAGGCAUAGGUUUCUGGAAUAUGUACUUCAAAGGAUCCAACCUGGUUAUGAGGUAAGUAGUGUGACCUUGUAGAUAAUGUCUCAGCUUUUGAGCGACCCAUGUCAAAGCACAACACGUUCUUUCUAACAGAGUGUACUUGACCUCGUAACUGGUGAAUUACUUACUCAAAUAAUAAAUCGCUUGCUCUUUCUUCCAGUCACAUCAUGUUUCCCGAUAACGCAACCAAAAGAGUUUUCCAAAACCGCCAGAUACAAGAAAAUGGGUCUACCUGGCUCUGGUGGGACCAAAACUGGAGGGUUUGACAGAUAUUCUUUGAUUUUGUCAAAAGCCUCCUGACACUCAGUUGUCCAUUUGACUGCCGCAUCUUUCUUUAAUAAUUUGAAUAUUUGGUCACAUGUGGUGGUCAAUUGAGUCAUAAACCGACUGAUAUAGUUCAACCUUCCUAGAUGACUCAUCACAUCUUUCUUUAUUUUUCAAGGAGGUAAAUCUCGGAUGACCUUUAUUUUCGUAGGGUCUAACGCGAUACAUAUCCUGCUGAUAAUGAAACCCAGAAGUUUGCCGGAUUGGACCCCGAACACACAUUUAGUCGGAUUCAGCUUCAGAUCAUAUUUCCGCAGCCUUUCAAAAAACUUCCGCAAAUCUCGGAUAUGAUCAUCCCGAGUUUUAGACUUAAUGAUCACGUCAUCCACAUACACCUCUAACUGUUGAUGCAUCAUAUCAUUAAAAAUGGUGGUCAUGGCUCUCAUAUAAGUUGCUCCAGCAUUUUUCAUACCAAAUGGCAUGACCCGGUAAUAGUAGGUACCCUAGGGUGUAGUGAAAGUUGUUUUCUCGGCAUCUUCUUCAUCCAUCAACACUUAGUGAUAUCCUACUUAAAAAUCCACGAAUGACUGUAUCUCGUGUUCGGCGCAGUUAUCAAUAAAGAUGUGGAUGUUGGUGAAAGGGAAGUUGUCCUUGGGACUCGCCCGGUUCAAGUCUCGAUAAUCAACAUAUACCCAAAUUUCCCCAUCUUUCUUGGGUACAUGAACUACAUUGGCCAACCACGUAGUCUACCGAACCACCCGGAUUACCCCUACUUUCAACUGCUUUGUGAUUUCUUCUUUGAUCUUGUCAUUGAUGUCAGUUUUAAAUUUCCUCUGUUUCUAUUGAACAGGAGGGCAGUCAGGGUGAAUUGGCAAUUUAUGUACCACUUGAUCAACACUCUAUCCUGGCAUGUCAUCGUAUGGCCAAGCAAACACAUCUUGGAACUCAAACAAAAGUUGAAUUAUUUCAUUUCGCAUUUUCUGGUCAGUUUGAAUGCUUAUCUUUAUUUCACAAAUUUCUUCUGAGGUUACC